UUGCAAACUCGAUCACUGGCUCUGCUUGAUGUAGCAGACGCAAAGGGAACCAGGUUUGCAACAGUAAAUGUGGUAGCAGAACCAUACUGGCCUUAGAAAUAGCAAUACUAAGGCUGUUUACUCUGUGACAGAACAAAA
Small nucleolar RNA from Sceloporus undulatus (fence lizard), 138 nucleotides. Lineage: Eukaryota; Metazoa; Chordata; Lepidosauria; Squamata; Phrynosomatidae. The record is from RefSeq and is a predicted model, not a curated record.